Molecule: ribosomal RNA, 484 nt
Filed under: uncultured bacterium
Lineage: Bacteria
Description: partial 16S ribosomal RNA
Rfam family: Bacterial small subunit ribosomal RNA
Source: RNAcentral
AUUGAACGCUGGCGGAAUGCUUUACACAUGCAAGUCGAACGGCAGCACGGGGGCAGCCCUGGUGGCGAGUGGCGAACGGGUGAGUAAUACAUCGGAACGUGCCCGGCCGUGGGGGAUAACGUAGCGAAAGUUACGCUAAUACCGCAUACGAUCUGAGGAUGAAAGCGGGGGACCUUCGGGCCUCGCGCGAUCGGAGCGGCCGAUGUCAGAUUAGGUAGUUGGUGGGGUAAAGGCCUACCAAGCCGACGAUCUGUAGCUGGUCUGAGAGGACGACCUGCCACACUGGGACUGAGACACGGCCCAGACUCCUACGGGAGGCAGCAGUGGGGAAUUUUGGACAAUGGGCGCAAGCCUGAUCCAGCCAUUCCGCGUGCAGGACGAAGGCCUUCGGGUUGUAAACUGCUUUUGUACGGAACGAAAAGGCUCUGGCUAAUACCUGGGGCUCAUGACGGUACCGUAAGAAUAAGCACCGGCUAACUACGUG